UACAGAGGGGGCAAGCGUUGGUCGGAAUUACUGGGCGUAAAGGGCGCGUAGGUGGCCUUCUAAGUUGAACGUGAAAUCCCUGGGCUCAACCCAGGAACUGCGUCCAAGACUGGGAGGCUUGAAUCCGGGAGAGGGAUGCGGAAUUCCAGGUGUAGCGGUGAAAUGCGUAGAUAUCUGGAGGAACACCGGUGGCGAAGGCGGCAUCCUGGACCGGUAUUGACACUGAGGCGCGAAAGCCAGGGGAGCGAACGGG
This 253-nucleotide ribosomal RNA is filed under the name uncultured bacterium. RNAcentral's name for it is "partial 16S ribosomal RNA". It matches the Rfam family "Bacterial small subunit ribosomal RNA", at positions 524 to 776 of the family's 1533-position model. The record is from RNAcentral.